UUCAGUAGAAAAACAUUCUCUCAUGAUGGUCUUCAGAUAAUCGUGUGACAACGACGACACUGACUCUACGUAGUUAGAAGAAUUGCUUGAAACGAAAAUCACGAGAACAGAUGGACAUCAUGUGGCGAAUGAAUGGAAGGGAAGCGACUGGAUAGAAGAGAAGGACUGGAUAGAAGAGCGAAAACAGUGAAAUACAACGAGAAACUGAAGUUUUAUAUGUGACUGUUUAAAAGAAGCCUUGAACAAGUUCCAAGCUGCGUACAAAAGAAGCCUUGGAACUGUCUGAAGGUGGACAUAGCGCAAAGUCAUAGAAAGCCUUAGGAUCAUAGCCUUCUACAGUUAAUAGAGUGAUUGUGCAAUUCACCAGAGAGGGGAAGGAGUCCAUAUCGCUUCGCCCAGGUUGACCAGGACUCUCUGACAGGACCUUUCUCUUUGUUAAGAGAAGUGUAAAGGAUUAUAUUCAUUGCUAGGCCUCUGACAUAGCAGAACACGUUGACGUCAGUCCCAGAACUGCUGUCAGGUAUCUCCAUAAAUUUGGUUACUAUUGCAGAGAAAAGAUUGGGCCAGUGAGAUGGUGGAGAGGCUAGUAGCAUUUUGGGACACUGUCGUUUUCUCCAAUGAGUCCAUAUUUGCCGUAUUUUCUGACAGUAGUCGAGUGUGGGUCUAGAGACUCUGUGAUCAAAACCUUGAUGUGGAAAGAUUGCAGCUAACAAUGAAACAUAGCAGCUAUUCUGUGAUGGUCUGGGUGGCAAUUUGGAGCAAUGGUCAAUCAGAGCUGGUGGAGUGUGAGGAAAACAUAAACUCAAAUAGAUAUAUGUCCUUAUUGCAGAAAUGGCUCCUUCCAAUCAUUUGAAGCGGUGAAAUGAUUAAAAACUUUUUUAUUUAUGGAAGAUGGGGCUCCUUGUCACACGGAUAAAAUGACCCAAGGUUUGUUGGAUGAGAAUGGCAUUAAAAAUCUUCCAUAGCCAACCCAGUCACCAGAUAUGAACCCUAUUGAACACAUCUAAGACAUAAGGGACAGGACAUUUCAUAAAAAGAACAAGAAAGCAUCUUCAAAGCCAGAUCUUUUGAGAUUACUGAAUGAAACUUGGCAAGAAAUUCCUCAAGAGACUCUACGUCAUCUGAUCAGUAACAUGCCUAAUAGGGUCCUUGCAUUGAAAAAUGCACAGGGCAUGUCUACUAAAUAUUAAAU
Molecule: long non-coding RNA, 1192 nt
Organism: Octopus bimaculoides (California two-spot octopus)
Lineage: Eukaryota; Metazoa; Mollusca; Cephalopoda; Octopoda; Octopodidae
Source: RefSeq, a predicted model, not a curated record